CUUCCACAUGCAAGUCGAACGGCAGCACGAAAAAAGCUUGCUUUUUUUGGUGGCGAGUGGCGAACGGGUGAGUAAUAUAUCGGAACGUACCCAGUAGCGGGGGAUAACUACGCGAAAGCGUGGCUAAUACCGCAUACGCCCUACGGGGGAAAGGGGGGGAUCGCACGACCUCUCACUAUUGGAGCGGCCGAUAUCGGAUUAGCUAGUUGGUGGGGUAAAGGCCCACCAAGGCAACGAUCCGUAGCUGGUUGAGAGGACGACCAGCCACACUGGGACUGAGACACGGCCCAGACUCCUACGGGAGGUAGCAGUGGGGAAUUUUGGACAAUGGGGGAAACCCUGAUCCAGCCAUCCCGCGUGUGCGAUGAAGGCCUUCGGGUUGUAAAGCACUUUUGGCAGGGAAGAAACGGCGCUGAAUAAUACUUGGCGCAACUGACGGUACCUGCAGAAUAAGCACUGGCUAACUACGUGCCAGCAGCCGCGGUAAUACGUAGGGUGCAAGCGUUAAUCGGAAUUACUGGGCGUAGAGCGUGCGCAGGCGGUUCGGAAAGAAAGAUGUGAAAUCCCAGAGCUUAACUUUGGAAUGGCAUUUUUAUCUACCGGGCUAGAGUAUGUCAGAGGGGGGUAGAAUUCCACGUGUAGCAGUGAAAUGCGUAGAGAUGUGGAGGAAUACCGAUGGCGAAGGCAGCCCCCUGGGAUAAUACUGACGCUCAUGCACGAAAGCGUGGGGAGUAAACAGGAUUAGAUACCCUGGUAGUCCACGCCCUAAACGAUGUCAACUAGCUGUUGGGGCCUUUGGGCCUUAGUAGCGCAGCUAACGCGUGAGUUGACCGCCUGGGGAGUACGGUCGCAAGAUUAAAACUCAAAGGAAUUGACGGGGACCCGCACAAGCGGUGGAUGAUGUGGAUUAAUUCGAUGCAACGCGAAAAACCUUACCUACCCUUGACAUGUCUGGAAUCCUUUAGAGAUAGAGGGGUGCUCGCAAGAGAACCGGAACACAGGUGCUGCAUGGCUGUCGUCAGCUCGUGUCGUGAGAUGUUGGGUUAAGUCCCGCAACGAGCGCAACCCUUGUCAUUAGUUGCUACGAAAGGGCACUCCAAUGAGACUGCCGGUGACAAACCGGAGGAAGGUGGGGAUGACGUCAAGUCCUCAUGGCCCUUAUGGGUAGGGCUUCACACGUCAUACAAUGGUCGGGACAGAGGGUUGCCAACCCGCGAGGGGGAGCCAAUUUCAGAAACCCGAUCGUAGUCCGGAUUGCAGGCUGCAACUCGCCUGCAGAAGUCGGAAUCGCUAGUAAUCGCGGAUCAGAAU
This 1311-nucleotide ribosomal RNA is filed under the name uncultured bacterium. Its description in RNAcentral is "bacterial SSU rRNA". It matches the Rfam family "Bacterial small subunit ribosomal RNA", at positions 48 to 1355 of the family's 1533-position model. The record is from RNAcentral.